This 725-nucleotide non-coding RNA is filed under the name Sinolochmostylia sinica. The record is from RNAcentral. Lineage: Eukaryota; Metazoa; Arthropoda; Insecta; Diptera; Ctenostylidae.
AUGUAAAUUUUUGUGUAUUUAUUUUAAUUAUUUAAAUAGUAUUAAAGUGGGUCAAUAAUUGAUUUUAUUAAAAUAAGAAGUCUUAUUAAUGGUAAUUUUUUUACUAGUAACGAAGUGAGUGCCAGCAGUUGCGGUUAUACUUACAUUGGGAAUAUGAAUUAUUAUGGGUUAAAUAAUAACUUUAAGGUUUAAAAAAAUUAUAUUAUGCGGUGAAAUUUUAAUAUUUUAUAUUGGAUUAUUUAUGAAUUUAAUAAAGUUUAAAUUAAAACUAGGAUUAGAUACCCUAUUAUUUAAAUAGUAAAUAAAAUUUUAGGUAGUAAGUGAUAUAUUCUUGAAACUUAAAAAAUUUGGCGGUAUUUUAAUCUGUUCAGGGGGGCCUGGUUUUUAAUCGACAGUCCGCGUUAAAUCUUACUUUAGUUUGUAAUCAGCUUAUAUACCGCCGUUGGGAGAGUAUUUUAUAAAAAAAAUAAUUUUCGAUAAUUUUAAUUAAAUUUAAAUCAGGUCAAGGUGUAGCUUAUGUUAAAGUAAAAGUGGGUUACAAUAAAUUAUUUAUUUAUAUGGAUAAAAUUAUGAAAAAAUUUUUGAAAGCGGAUUUGAAAGUAAAAUUUAUGGAGUUUAUAGUUUGAAAGUAGUUUUAAAAUAUGCACAUAUCGCCCGUCACUCUUAUUGUUUAAGAUAAGGUAAGUCGUAACAUAGUAGAUGUACUGGAAAGUGUAUCUAGAAUG